Cinara cedri is the source of this 314-nucleotide non-coding RNA. The record is from the annotation of a GenBank genome assembly. Lineage: Eukaryota; Metazoa; Arthropoda; Insecta; Hemiptera; Aphididae.
UUUCUGGUAGAAUUGCUCGUUCGGACUAUUUUAAUCGAAACACACCCUUCGAUUUGUUGUGCAAACUUUUCCACUAGAAACAUUACUUAAUAAAAUAAAAUAUGGCCACCCCAAGAAAAUUUCCAUUAGUUACCUUGAACUACUGUUAAAGGUUCACUUUUUGUGUUUUUAUAGAAGUACUAAUUAUUUUUCCAUUAUGAAAGAAAUUAUGUAUAAUAAUUCCAUGCAUAUCUAUUACCUAUGUACGCUUAUAAAAAAAACAAAAGUUCAUACAUUAGACGGGCGUGCCACUGUUGUACGUGGGAACUCGGAAA